UCCUCUCCCUCGGGCCCCCGGGAGGCGGGUGUGGGAGGGAUUGGGAAAGCGCGAGUCCUUGGCCGCGGAGACCCCAGAGGCGCUCCUGAGGAGACCGCGGAGUGGGAGCCGGACGCUUGAGGGAGUUUAUCGAAGGCCUGGCGGCGGGGUGACCAGGAGGCUCCAGUUUUCCUGACGGAGUUGGCGGCAGAGGUUGAGGGAAGGAAAAGGGAGAGCCCUGCCGAGGUGUGGGAACUACAAGUACCCGCUUUCUCACUGUCACCCCAUCCCCACAGGGGCCUCUGAGUGAUCCGAGUGUGUCCUGUGGGCGCGCUCUCCGCAGCCCGCGUCCCCACCGUGAGACCUUAAGGCCGAGAGGGCGUGGCGGGCGCGGUAACCGACCGCGGGGGCCGCCGGGUGGCGGGCAGCUGGGCGCUGGUUCCCCGGAGAAAACGGGAUCUUCUCAAGGUUCGGCUUCUGUUGCCUCUUACCUCUUGGUUUUCUGGAAGAGGCUGUGAAAAAGCCAAGUAACUUAUCGACCUUGAUCUUCAAAAUGGUUUUCUAAAGAGAUAGUAGGACUAAUCAAGGAAAAUAGGCUGUUUCACCCAUGGGAAAAGACCAGAAAUGAAUGGAAUACUAUCUUAAACAAGUCAAAAAUCUGUUACAACAUUUAUACUACUUGAAUGAAGAAAGGUAAAAAACCCCACAAAAUUCCAUCUGAUAAUUAUUACCCCAUUCAGACAUUGGUGAAUUUGUCCCUCAAUCCAAGUCAACCUUCCUCAUCAGAGAUAGGUAAAAAAGAGUACAUCACCUUCCCAGCUCUUAUUGAUUUUCCUUCACUUCCUUUCCAGGAAUAACUGAAAUCUCUUUAUUACAGAUUGAGAGAGAGAAGAUUAUCAAACAAAUUAAACAAGUAAAGGAAGAAAGACAAUAUCUGGAAACAAUAAGAAAAGAACUAAUAUCAAAGCAAUAUCAUGCCUGUGGUAGUUGGAAGGAAAAAUACUUUGAAACAAAGGAAGUCACAGCAUCAUUGGAAGAGGUUUUAACAAAACAUCAAGAAGAUUUAGAACUCUAUUAUAAAAAAGUGCUCCUGCAACUUGAAGCCAGGGAGGUCAAUAUGAAACCAAAGAAUAUGGCAAACACCACAGACUCUAAGAUCACUGAAGUACAGCAAGAAAUUGACCAACUUAAGAGAAAAUUGGUUACUGAGAAAAUGAAGCACAUCAUAGAAGCUAAGAUGAGAAAACAAGCAAUUUCAGAUGUAUGCAUACUGAAAGCUGAACUCACAGAAUAAAAUUGAUACAUCUUUACAGCCUGUUAGGAUUCCAGAAAGAGAACUCUUUACUUGCUUCAUAAUUAUUUUAUAGGGCACCUGACGUCCUGCAGCAUCACUACAUGGAGCUCCCCGGAAAGGGACUUUUGCAAUGGGAGCAUUGGCUGCUGCAAUACAUUCUGACCAGAUCUGACUUUGUUCAUCGUAAGACAUCACAAAGAGAAAGUCACAAGCAUCUGCAAU
Molecule: RNA transcript, 1495 nt
Organism: Eptesicus fuscus (big brown bat)
Lineage: Eukaryota; Metazoa; Chordata; Mammalia; Chiroptera; Vespertilionidae
Gene: SPATA1
Gene name: spermatogenesis associated 1
Exons: 10
Source: RefSeq, a predicted model, not a curated record